This 117-nucleotide non-coding RNA is filed under the name Chlorocebus sabaeus (green monkey). The record is from Rfam by way of RNAcentral. Lineage: Eukaryota; Metazoa; Chordata; Mammalia; Primates; Cercopithecidae.
GCCAGGCGUGGUGGCUCAUGCCUGUAAUCCCAGCACUUUGGGAGGCUGAGGUGGGUGGAUCACCUGAGGUCAGGAGUUCGAGACCAGCCUGGCCAACAUGGUGAAACCCCAUCUCUA